RNAcentral lists this ribosomal RNA (264 nucleotides) under uncultured prokaryote. RNAcentral's name for it is "partial 16S ribosomal RNA". It matches the Rfam family "Bacterial small subunit ribosomal RNA", at positions 526 to 788 of the family's 1533-position model. The record is from RNAcentral.
CGUAGGUGGCGAGCGUUGUCCGGAUUUACUGGGUGUAAAGGGCGCGCAGGCGGCCCUGCAAGUCGGAUGUGAAAGAUCAAGGCUCAACCUUGACAGGCCAUUCGAAACUGUGGGACUUGAGUGUCAGAGGGGAAAGUGGAAUUCCUAGUGGAGCGGUAAAAUGCGCAGAUAUUAGGAGGAACACCGGUGGCGAAGGCGACUUUCUGGCUGACAACUGACGCUGAGGCGCGAAAGCGUGGGGAGGCAAACAGGAUUAGAUACCCU